ACCGGGAGAACGGGGAGGGGGAGGAGGGAGGGCGGGGGUAGCGAAGGAGGGGAGGGGGGGGGGUGGUGAACUCACCGCCCGCCCUCAACACUCACACAUCCCGCAGCCGACCGGACCACACCAGGCCACGCUGCACAGGACCGGGAGCUGUCAGGCAACAGCCCGACACCCACACAGUCAGGGUGGAAGCGUGAGGCAGGGGGCGGGCAGAGAUCAACUCGUUACCGAGACGGAGAAGCCGGCCACUAGCGGCACCCACAUACAGCCAGCCACUCGAGGCCGUUUCCACUCUCAACCUAGGCACUGUCGUAAAGUGAAGCUGCCGCGCGGCCCCGCCGCCCCCCGCGUACGUCAUAACCGUCGUAAAUGCGGCUUCCCGUCUCUCCUUGAAGCUGUUGUUUUACGACGGUGACCUUUGACCGACGCCGAGAGAGGUCCGGAAACAGCGUUUGAUAUCUACAAGCGGAGGAGAUGCCGACAUAAACAAACUAGAUGCCUUAUGGUUACAGAAAGGCAUUUCAAAGCACUUUACAAAGUGACAAGAAGAACAAAUAACCGAACAAUUGGGCGUGACAUCAGAAACAAAAGCACCGUUGAAGAGAGUUUUGAGAAGUUUUACACACCAGGGAGGUUUUUAACCACCUUUGAUGGAAUGGUCCAGAAGAUGUGACAGAAACUGAAAAGAGAUGCAACAUACCUAUAAACCCCAUUUAUUUCAAGAAUCUCAAAUAUUGUAACAUUGCCGGAUGCAAACCAUG
Hemiscyllium ocellatum (epaulette shark) is the source of this 758-nucleotide long non-coding RNA. RefSeq lists it as uncharacterized. The transcript has 5 exons. NCBI's taxonomy places the organism in Eukaryota, Metazoa, Chordata, Chondrichthyes, Orectolobiformes, Hemiscylliidae. The record is from RefSeq and is a predicted model, not a curated record.